UACGUAGGUGGCAAGCGUUGUCCGGAUUUACUGGGCGUAAAGAGCGCGCAGGCGGUCGGAUAAGUCGAAUGUGAAAGCCCCCGGCUUAACUGGGGAGGGUCAUUCGAUACUGUUCGACUGGAAGGCAGGAGAGGGAAGCGGAAUUCCCGGUGUAGUGGUGAAAUGCGUAGAUAUCGGGAAGAACACCCGUGGCGAAGGCGGUUCUCUGGGACGGUACUGACGCUGAGACGCGAAAGCGUGGGGAGCGAACAGG
Molecule: ribosomal RNA, 253 nt
Filed under: uncultured bacterium
Lineage: Bacteria
Description: partial 16S ribosomal RNA
Rfam family: Bacterial small subunit ribosomal RNA
Source: RNAcentral